Thalassophryne amazonica is the source of this 1752-nucleotide long non-coding RNA. RefSeq lists it as uncharacterized. The record is from RefSeq and is a predicted model, not a curated record. NCBI's taxonomy places the organism in Eukaryota, Metazoa, Chordata, Actinopteri, Batrachoidiformes, Batrachoididae. The transcript is spliced from 3 exons.
UGGUCACAUCAGCCGGCAAAACUUUCUUUGUAGCUAGACUUCAGCUUUACUCGUGUCUCUUAUAGAUAUUAGGGAUGUUUCGUCCAACCUUAAAGUCGUGUUAUGUUAACAAAAGUCCGUGCACGCGUGCGGCAAUGUAUGCUUUUUAGGUUUCACUUUCAUUUCAUAACGCGGCAGUGGAGCACUUUUUUAUUGCUGAGGGGAGAAAACACUUUGUUGUGGAUUUAGAGGAACACUGGAAACAAGAGAAAAGGGUGUGAGGAGAGGACAGAAGGAUGGACAGAGGGAUGAGCAGAGGACAGAAUGAUGGACAGAAGCCAGAGGACAGAGGGAUGGACAGAGGACAGAAGGAUGGACAGAGUACAGAAGGAUGAGCAGAGGACAAGCGCAGAUACACACCCUUGAGGUGUGUUUCUGUGAGUCUUCAGCUCAGUGAAAAAUUGCAUUGCUGACCAAGCAGAGGACAGAGAGGGAGUCGAAAAGAAGGGGGAGAUGCAAGGAAAGUGAGGAAGGGAGAGGCUGACGAGCAAUAGCAGCCUGCUAAGCCCUUGAGGCUUAGCUCACAACCUGCUGAAAUAAUGGAAAUCAUUAGAAGAAAGACGAUUCCCAUCUGACUUUCAUUCCCAUCUGACUUGCCCAGGUUAGAUGACGGCAAAGCGCUGCCUGUCUGCCAGCAUUCCUGAAAGCUUUUCAUCUCUGCUCCGAUUCAUCUGGGAAGACGAAGAGAACGAGGGAGAGAAAGUGGAAUGGGGUGGGGAGCUGUAUUGUGACUGGAUUUUUCAGCCUUUUGCGGUUAACCUGCGCUGGACACUGCGUUGUGGAUCGACACUUAAUUUCCCAGCUGGUCUGACGUAUGUUUGUGAAAAGGACACUCGGAGCUGAGAGCACACCUCACAGGGACAGACUCAGACCCAUACAGGCAAACGUGUCACCCCAAGCAACAAGCAAAAAAAAAAAAACACAAGUGGACACACAAAUAGUCUACACACCUCAGCAAACAAAGUAAUGCCAUAUUACAUUGUGAAAGACAAGAUGACCAUGAAAACUGACCUUCCAUCAGAUCUUUGGAUCGUCAUGAAUAAUCAUUUUGAAGAGAUUAUUUUAUAAUGUGAGCAAAUAAGCAUCUGAGCAUCCUCCACCUGCCGUGAGAAGCAUCUGCAAGGGAACAGUCGAGUGCAAAAAUUUGCUACCUUAUCACUAAAUUUCCACUCACAUCAGACAAUCUGACAACACCAACAUUUCAUAAAACCUCUGCAAAAGAAACAAUCUGGGACUACACAAUGUGUAUUCCAAUUCCAGCAGUGCUCAAAGACCCUCUGAAGUUAGUACCAGCUUCAGUACUGAAGUUAGUACUGAUUUUCAAAGAUCUGGCAACUUGCUUCUGACGGAUUGUUUGUUGCUGUUACGCCACUCUGAAUUUCACAUGGUUGUAUACGCUUCUUUUAUUUCUGUUUAGCACUCUUCUGGUUAUUAAUUGUAUCUACUCUGAACGUUAUUUAACAACAGACCUGUUGUGAAUCGCUAGCAGUUAGCAUUCCCUAGCGGUUAGCAUUUGCUAGCAGUUAGCGUUGGCUAGCUAGGUCCACCCCUCCCCUCUCGUCGUUACUUUUACAGCUGUUCUUUUUUACCAGUUUAACACUUCUGUUCGUUUUUCAGUCAAACUGCUGUGAAUUUUAAGUAAUUAUUUUACUACUGUGUAAAAUCUUAGGAGUGGCUAGCAUUUUCGCUAGCGGUUAGCUUGCGUUAGCUAUU